Molecule: long non-coding RNA, 1064 nt
Organism: Andrographis paniculata
Lineage: Eukaryota; Viridiplantae; Streptophyta; Magnoliopsida; Lamiales; Acanthaceae
Exons: 3
Source: RefSeq, a predicted model, not a curated record
GGGAAGUGUACGAGACGGCAGCAGAUCGGACAGUGGUCCAAUUGAAGAAACAGGCGCCAUUGAUGCGACAGCGACACAUCAAACUUUCUCCAACCAGUAUAGAGAAGGUACAGCAGCGCUAAAGCCUUUCAUCGCAGAAUCUCCUCACUUUUUUCACCUUUUUUUUACCGUCGGCGAUUCAUUCGCGCUGAGAAUCAAAUUGAUUAGGAGAGGCGAGUAAGUGUAAAAGCAAGUAAGACAGAGAAUCAAUUGAGACUAGAGUGGAUGAUCAAAGCGCCUUUAUACUUUCCAGAUGAGAGGGCAAAACAGUCAUUUUACGAUUCAUGGCCUACGACAUGAAGAAUAAUGGUUCGUUUCUUUAAUAAAAAUUUGAAAAAUAAAUAAAUAAAUUAUUUGGGUUUUAAAGUUCGGACUUAAUAUUUUGGGUUUGCAAAAAAUCGGAUCUAUCUGACCGAAACAGAAAAAAUUUAUGGCAUGUUUGGAUCGGUUUCGAAUAGAAUUGAUAAUUUGAAAUUUAAAAAUCAGGUUGGAUUUCAAAUUUCGGAUUUACUUGAAAUUAUUAUUAUUUAUUAUUUUAAUUUAUAAUAUAUAUUAUAUUAAAUAUAAAAUAAUAUAAACAAAUUAAAUUAAAAUUAAUUCCUUUUAGGAAAAUUUAAUUUAUGUAGGUUCGUGUCAGUUUGUUCUGGUGUCGGUGAUCAAUAACUAAUUAGGUCAACCUGAACCUGACUCGAAAAAAUUAGUGUCGUAUUCGGGUUUAGUGUUUAGGGUCAAAUUUUGAGUUUGGGUUGAAUUCGAAUUGACAACUUUUUGUUAUCCCCGUAGCUUAACCCGACACGAAUACAAUCCAAAAAUACGAAUCGACACCCGUAUAUUCGGCACAAUAAUAGUAUUUUUUAUAAGAUAUUUUCUCUUAAAAUGUAGAAUUUAAAUAGUAAUAUUUGAAAAUUUUGCAUUACAAAUAUAUAUUUUAUACGUUCAUCAAAUUUAUAACUAUUUUUCUAUUUCGCUUAUAUAUAACACUAUAAAUAUUUUAUUCUUAGCAAAUAAUUAUUACACACUAUUGA